This 286-nucleotide ribosomal RNA is filed under the name uncultured Eubacteriales bacterium. Its description in RNAcentral is "uncultured Clostridiales bacterium partial 16S ribosomal RNA". It matches the Rfam family "Bacterial small subunit ribosomal RNA", at positions 61 to 339 of the family's 1533-position model. Lineage: Bacteria; Bacillati; Bacillota; Clostridia; Eubacteriales. The record is from RNAcentral.
UUAUAUUGGCAGAAGUUUUCGGACGGACGCGGAUAUAACUUAGUGGCGAACGGGUGAGUAACACGUGAGCAACCUGCCUUUCAGAGGGGGAUAACGGCUGGAAACGGCUGCUAAUACCGCAUAAGCGCACGAAGAGACAUCUCCUAGUGUGAAAAACUCCGGUGGUACAGGAUGGGCCCGCGUCUGAUUAGCUGGUUGGUGAGGUAACGGCCCACCAAGGCGACGAUCAGUAGCCGGCCUGAGAGGGUGAACGGCCACAUUGGGACUGAAACACGGCCCAAACUCC